RNAcentral lists this ribosomal RNA (1429 nucleotides) under uncultured organism. Its description in RNAcentral is "16S ribosomal RNA". It matches the Rfam family "Bacterial small subunit ribosomal RNA". The record is from RNAcentral.
UAACACAUGCAAGUCGAGGGGCAUCAGGUAGAAAGCUUGCUUUCUUUGCUGGCGACCGGCGCACGGGUGAGUAACACGUAUCCAACCUGCCCUUUACUCGGGGAUAGCCUUUCGAAAGAAAGAUUAAUACCCGAUAGCAUAAUGAUUCCGCAUGGUUUCAUUAUUAAAGGAUUCCGGUAAAGGAUGGGGAUGCGUUCCAUUAGGUUGUUGGUGAGGUAACGGCCCACCAAGCCUUCGAUGGAUAGGGGUUCUGAGAGGAAGGUCCCCCACAUUGGAACUGAGACACGGUCCAAACUCCUACGGGAGGCAGCAGUGAGGAAUAUUGGUCAAUGGGCGCUAGCCUGAACCAGCCAAGUAGCGUGAAGGAUGAAGGCUCUACGGGUCGUAAACUUCUUUUAUAUAAGAAUAAAGUGCAGUAUGUAUACUGUUUUGUAUGUAUUAUAUGAAUAAGGAUCGGCUAACUCCGUGCCAGCAGCCGCGGUAAUACGGAGGACCCGAGCGUUAUCCGGAUUUAUUGGGUUUAAAGGGAGCGUAGGUGGACUGGUAAGUCAGUUGUGAAAGUUUGCGGCUCAACCGUAAAAUUGCAGUUGAUACUGUCAGUCUUGAGUACAGUAGAGGUGGGCGGAAUUCGUGGUGUAGCGGUGAAAUGCUUAGAUAUCACGAAGAACUCCGAUUGCGAAGGCAGCUCACUGGACUGCAACUGACACUGAUGCUCGAAAGUGUGGGUAUCAAACAGGAUUAGAUACCCUGGUAGUCCACACAGUAAACGAUGAAUACUCGCUGUUUGCGAUAUACAGUAAGCGGCCAAGCGAAAGCAUUAAGUAUUCCACCUGGGGAGUACGCCGGCAACGGUGAAACUCAAAGGAAUUGACGGGGGCCCGCACAAGCGGAGGAACAUGUGGUUUAAUUCGAUGAUACGCGAGGAACCUUACCCGGGCUUAAAUUGCAGUGGAAUGAUGUGGAAACAUGUCAGUGAGCAAUCACCGCUGUGAAGGUGCUGCAUGGUUGUCGUCAGCUCGUGCCGUGAGGUGUCGGCUUAAGUGCCAUAACGAGCGCAACCCUUAUCUUUAGUUACUAACAGGUUAUGCUGAGGACUCUAGAGAGACUGCCGUCGUAAGAUGUGAGGAAGGUGGGGAUGACGUCAAAUCAGCACGGCCCUUACGUCCGGGGCUACACACGUGUUACAAUGGGGGGUACAGAAGGCAGCUAGCGGGUGACCGUAUGCUAAUCCCAAAAUCCUCUCUCAGUUCGGAUCGAAGUCUGCAACCCGACUUCGUGAAGCUGGAUUCGCUAGUAAUCGCGCAUCAGCCACGGCGCGGUGAAUACGUUCCCGGGCCUUGUACACACCGCCCGUCAAGCCAUGGGAGCCGGGGGUACCUGAAGUACGUAACCGCAAGGAUCGUCCUAGGGUAAAACUGGUGACUGGGGC